UAUUAAAAUUUUUAUUUGAUUUUAUUGUUAAAAAUUGGUGUGACUGACAGAAUAACCAAACAGUUACAUUUGACGUGUCACGUGUUCCUAAUGUCGAUGUUUAUCGACUCGUUUUUAACAAUAAAAAUAUAUGAAAUUUUUAGGA
Molecule: non-coding RNA, 145 nt
Organism: Gossypium raimondii (Peruvian cotton)
Lineage: Eukaryota; Viridiplantae; Streptophyta; Magnoliopsida; Malvales; Malvaceae
Source: Rfam